CGCUCUUGUCGCCCAGGCUGGAGUGCAGUGGUGCAAUCUCGGCUUACUGCAACCUCCACCUCCCGGUUCAAGCGAUUCUCCUGCCUCAGCCUCCUGACUAUCUGGGAUUAUAAGCGCCCACCAACACGCCCAGCUAAUUUUUGUAUUUUCAGUAGAGAUGGGGUUGUGCCAUGUUGGCCAGGCUAGUCUCGAACUCCUGACCUCAGGUGAUCCGCCCACCUUGGCCUCCCAAAAUGCUGGGAUUACAGGCGUGAGCUACCGUGCCCGGCCCCAAAAUAGUUUUAUAACAAGGUCAUUAGCAACCAAAAUGUAAAAGAAAUAAUUUGUGAUCCUGCCACCCCAAUCAACGAAGCUUUUUUCCUUCCUUCCUGGCCCCUCC
Molecule: long non-coding RNA, 379 nt
Filed under: Homo sapiens (human)
Lineage: Eukaryota; Metazoa; Chordata; Mammalia; Primates; Hominidae
Description: HSALNT0023003
Source: RNAcentral